RNAcentral lists this unclassified non-coding RNA (326 nucleotides) under soil metagenome. Its description in RNAcentral is "partial contains 5.8S ribosomal RNA, internal transcribed spacer 2, and large subunit ribosomal RNA". The stretch from base 1 to 119 matches the Rfam family "5.8S ribosomal RNA", at positions 35 to 154 of the family's 154-position model. The record is from RNAcentral.
GAUGAAGACGUAGCGAAAUGCGAUAAGUAAUGUGAAUUGCAGAAUUCAGUGAAUCAUCGAAUCUUUGAACGCACAUUGCGCCCCUUGGUAUUCCGGGGGGCAUGCCUGUUCGAGCGUCAUUAUAACCCCUCAAGCUCAGCUUGGUGUUGGGGCCUGCCGACUGGCAGCCCUUAAAAUCAGUGGCGGCGCCAUCUGGCUCUAAGCGUAGUAAUUUCUCUCGCUAUAGAGUCCCGGUGGAUGCUUGCCAGCAACCCCCAACUUUCUAUGGUUGACCUCGGAUCAGGUAGGGAUACCCGCUGAACUUAAGCAUAUCAAUAAGCGGAGGA